Molecule: transfer RNA, 83 nt
Filed under: Candidatus Methanimicrococcus odontotermitis
Lineage: Archaea; Methanobacteriati; Methanobacteriota; Methanomicrobia; Methanosarcinales; Methanosarcinaceae
Description: tRNA-Ser
Rfam family: tRNA
About the family: Transfer RNA (tRNA) molecules are approximately 80 nucleotides in length. Their secondary structure includes four short double-helical elements and three loops (D, anti-codon, and T loops). Further hydrogen bonds mediate the characteristic L-shaped molecular structure. tRNAs have two regions of fundamental functional importance: the anti-codon, which is responsible for specific mRNA codon recognition, and the 3' end, to which the tRNAs corresponding amino acid is attached (by aminoacyl-tRNA synthetases). tRNAs cope with the degeneracy of the genetic code in two manners: having more than one tRNA (with a specific anti-codon) for a particular amino acid; and 'wobble' base-pairing, i.e. permitting non-standard base-pairing at the 3rd anti-codon position.
Source: RNAcentral
GCCCGGUUAGUCUAGCGGUAAGGCGGUGGUCUCGAAAACCACUUCUUCUUCGAAGAGCGCAAGUUCAAAUCCUGCAUCGGGCG